Calidris pugnax (ruff) is the source of this 2033-nucleotide long non-coding RNA. RefSeq lists it as uncharacterized. NCBI's taxonomy places the organism in Eukaryota, Metazoa, Chordata, Aves, Charadriiformes, Scolopacidae. The transcript has 5 exons. The record is from RefSeq and is a predicted model, not a curated record.
UAGCACAGACUCUUUAGUGCAGUCCUGAUUUCUGUAUUAAUGAAUUGAGAAGAUGACAUCAGGCUCUUAGAUCAGCUUGGAAAAACAAAUGUCUUGAGUUGGAGCCCACACAAUUGUCUUCCUUGUUUGUGUUCAAAGACGUGUACCUGGUGGUCCAGAUGAGUAUCGUACUACCCGCCCCACAUAGCCUGAAAUUCUACUGGUGGAUGUAUGACACGUAGAGUUGUCCACAGAGGUAUUCCUGUUGAGGAAGAAGAUGGAGGGGGGCUGGAGCCUGGGAAGGCAAACUAUGACAACAAGAGCCACCAAGCGAAGGAAAGAGAAACAGUGACGGAGGCUAAGCAUGAAUUUCCAACAUAACCAUCAGUCUGACUUCGGCUUGACUGGGCUGUCAUGAUCAAAUGACUUCACUUGCCUGGUAUGUGCUCCUCUGCUUUUUUACAUCCUUGAUAUCCCAGUUUAUACACGUGCACAUGCUGACUUCCUCCAGGACACCACAACCCUUCCUGAUAAUUGCACUGCUAAAACUACCCGCUGUGUUAAAGGUCAGCAGAAGGGCCUUAGCGGUGAAGUGGCACUUGCCUAUCAAAAUGCAAAAUACUGGGGUGAAAGAAGUAAAACUCAACUAUUAUAUGUUACAAAAUUCGAGACAUUCAAAGUCGAGUAUAUCUUUCUCAUGUUCCAAUACCCAGAAAAGAAUGUCACAGCAUGACUCCAUCCUCGUGACGGAGACUGAAAGAAGAAUGAAAAAUAAUGCAAAGUUAUCUCCUUCUUGUUAAAAUCUAUUGUAAUCUUGUGUUCUUCCUCUGUUAUUGCACUGAAAUAAAGACAUUUUAAUCCCAGGGUACAACUGAGAGAAGCCCUGAUCUAAAAAUUGCCAAACCUCCUGAUCCAGUAUUUUAGAACUCAGAGUGCUUGUCACUUAUGAAUAUUCAUACAGACCACUAAAAGAAUUAUAUUCUGUCUGCAGUUACAGGCAGGAAACGAACACAGUAAAUUCUAAAGAGACAGCAGUAUUUUAUGGAACACUUGUGAAAUAUUAAGGACAUCCACAACAAAAUUCUUGUAGGAAAGUGGUGCAGGAGAGUUAUAUGGAACAGAGAUAACACUGUCAUGGAACACAUCUUUUAGAAGUAAACAAAAUACAGGGAUUCACCUCAAGUCUUAGAAAAGUUGGAAUUUUUCAAGGUAACCUGAUAAUGUCUACAUUUCCCUUACAUGCAGGAGUAUGCAUGCUGGUCAGGUAAGAGGCACUGAAUGCAAAAGGCUUAUAUAAACUUUGUAAAAGAAACUAGGAAGCCUGACUAAACAUAAGUUUUAUCUUAAAGGAAGACAAGUUUUUAUAUAAAGAAGGAAUUUACCUCCUGAAAGCCUGCCCUAAGGUUUACAGUUAAGGACAGUUAAAAAUGGGAAAUAUUUCAAACUUGUAUGUAUUCCUUCCUUUAUGAUUAAGUAAACUGCAGAAUUCCUUGAUGGUAAAAUAAUAAAUGUUUAAGAAGAUUAUUUUCUGACAAGUCAGCACUUAUAUAUGAAAAGGCUUAAUCUCACCCUAGCAAGAAAUGGACUUGUUCCAGUGGCAGAUGUACUAACCCAAGCACAUAUUAAGUUGGUUGGGAGACUUGUGUUCACAGUGUUCCCUCAAGAAAUGAAAGUAGCCUUUUAUGAGCUCUUCCAUUAAUAAACAUCUUAAAAAUAGAGACCAGUUAGUGUUGAGACCUCUAAAACCAGAGGCUGACAGUAGCUCAGCUGACCUACUGGCAUGAUGCUGCCAAAAGGAAGAGAGCAUUCCCUCUUCUUCUUCCUCACCUCUCCUCCUAUGUUUCCUUCUUUCCACCCUGCUCCUGGCAAGGCAGUUGUCCCUCCCUUGCAGCAGCUCUCGUGCUGCUUUGGGCUUUUUUUUUUCCUGUUCAUUAACACGGCGGAAAAACAUUCAGCUGAUCUAAUAGCUUUGCUUCUGCCAUUUUAAGGAAUUAAAGUUGCCUACAGUGAAGUCUGGCAGGCUCCUGAGACAGUAGAAUUUUGUAAAGACCAGG